CCUACGGGAGGCAGCAGUGGGGAAUAUUGCGCAAUGGGCGAAAGCCUGACGCAGCGACGCCGCGUGUGGGAUGAAGGUCUUCGGAGCGUAAACCUCUGUCAGCAGGGAAGAACGGUCACUGUGCUAAUCAGCAGUGAAUUGACGGUACCUGCAAAGGAAGCACCGGCUAACUCCGUGCCAGCAGCCGCGGUAAUACGGAGGGUGCGAGCGUUAAUCGGAAUUACUGGGCGUAAAGCGCUCGUAGGCGGUAUGUCAAGUCAAGGGGGAAAUCCCCGCGCUCAACGUGGGAACUGCCUUUGAAACUGGCAAACUGGAGUGUGUGAGAGGAUAGUGGAAUUCCAGGUGUAGGAGUGAAAUCCGUAGAUAUCUGGAGGAACAUCAGUGGCGAAGGCGACUAUCUGGCACAUAACUGACGCUGAGGAGCGAAAGCGUGGGUAGCAAACAGGAUUAGAUACCCCAGUAGUC
Molecule: ribosomal RNA, 465 nt
Filed under: uncultured bacterium
Lineage: Bacteria
Description: partial 16S ribosomal RNA
Rfam family: Bacterial small subunit ribosomal RNA
Source: RNAcentral